UUCGUGGUAACACCGGAUUUGCGUAAUCAAGUGCUCAAUUUAUUGUCAAAUUCGGUGCACUCCCUCCGACUCUUUCUCUUAUUUAAUAUUUUAGUUGCAUAUUUGAUUAUAUUUUAAUUUUUACAAUAUGUUUAAUACUGCUAAAAGAUCGUGUAGAAAAGUUACUGGUAGGGGUGGAAGUAAAAAAGAGGUAGUCCUGUAGCUUCUGGUAGUAAUAGUAAUGACCCAAUAACACAUGUUUCUGAAUCAUCGCCUAAUUUGCAAGAUGUAGAGAUUGAUU
RNAcentral lists this long non-coding RNA (280 nucleotides) under Nicotiana benthamiana. RNAcentral describes it as "long non-coding RNA (NBEN_LNC028034)". Lineage: Eukaryota; Viridiplantae; Streptophyta; Magnoliopsida; Solanales; Solanaceae. The record is from RNAcentral.